This 824-nucleotide ribosomal RNA is filed under the name uncultured bacterium. RNAcentral's name for it is "bacterial SSU rRNA". It matches the Rfam family "Bacterial small subunit ribosomal RNA", at positions 710 to 1532 of the family's 1533-position model. The record is from RNAcentral.
CGGCGGUGUAGACGGCUCUCUGGACCGUAACUGACGCUGAGACACGAAAGCGUGGGUAGCAAACAGGAUUAGAUACCCUGGUAGUCCACGCCCUAAACGAUGCAUAUUUGGUGUGGGUCAUUCAGUUGAUCCGUGCCGGAGCUAACGCGUUAAAUAUGCCGCCUGGGGAGUACAGUCGCAAGGCUGAAACUCAAAGGAAUUGACGGGGGCCCGCACAAGCGGUGGAGCAUGUGGUUCAAUUCGACGCAACGCGAAGAACCUUACCUGGGCUCGAACGGCUGGUUACCGGCGGUGGAAACAUCGCUACCCCGCAAGGGGGUCCAGUCGAGGUGCUGCAUGGCUGUCGUCAGCUCGUGUCGUGAGAUGUUGGGUUAAGUCCCGCAACGAGCGCAACCCUUGUCCUGUGUUGCCAUCAUUCAGUUGGGAACUCGCAGGAGACCGCCAGCGAUAAGCUGGAGGAAGGUGGGGAUGACGUCAAGUCCUCAUGGCCUUUAUGUCCAGGGCUACACACGUGCUACAAUGGACGGUACAAAGCGCAGCAAACCCGCGAGGGGGAGCCAAUCGCAAAAAACCGUUCUCAGUUCGGAUUGCAGGCUGCAACUCGCCUGCAUGAAGCUGGAAUCGCUAGUAAUGGCAGAUCAGCACGCUGCCGUGAAUACGUUCCCGGGCCUUGUACACACCGCCCGUCACAUCACGAAAGUGGAUUGUACUAGAAGUCUGUACGCUGACCCGCAAGGGAGGCAGCGGCCCAAGGUAUGAUUCAUGAUUGGGGUGAAGUCGUAACAAGGUAGCCGUAGGAGAACCUGCGGCUGGAUCACCUCCUU